GUUAGAAUGGUAGAGUUGAGCCCACUGUUCAUCUGAAUUAGCAAUACCAAGCAGCUGUUUUGGUUAAUCAUAAUGAGAGUUUCUGACGUCUGGAUGAGCAUCAGGGCCUGGAGAUGGCUUGAGCUGAUUCUUGGGGUUCGGAUGGGGCUGAUGGCCUGUUGCGCUAAUUGACAGUGCAGUGAAGCUCUGGUCCAGUGGAGUAGAACACCUGCAGACCCACAGGUGAAGAGAGAGGGACCAAGGGAUGAAGGCCCUGGAAGAGUAAAAACAGAGUAAAGUUUUACAGAGUAAAACAGUACAAGAAAGAAUCACAUACUGUAAUUGAUCCACCAUGGAACUCAGCAGAGGAAAUUAUCACAAGAUCCAUCACAUUGUGAGCAAAGACAUGAGAGACAUAUGAAAGAUUCUGGGUAUAAAAGCACCCAGGAGAAGGCUGGCACUCAACUCGUCACUUCCUCUUUCCCUUUCCUGCAUCCUUUUCCUGU
Molecule: non-coding RNA, 485 nt
Organism: Heterocephalus glaber (naked mole-rat)
Lineage: Eukaryota; Metazoa; Chordata; Mammalia; Rodentia; Bathyergidae
Source: RefSeq, a predicted model, not a curated record